This 155-nucleotide small RNA is filed under the name Fukomys damarensis (Damara mole-rat). RNAcentral describes it as "7SK RNA (ENSFDAG00000001708.1)". It matches the Rfam family "7SK RNA", at positions 116 to 273 of the family's 331-position model. Rfam says of the family: 7SK was discovered as an abundant small nuclear RNA in the mid-70s but a possible function has only recently been suggested. Two independent studies have found that 7SK RNA binds the CDK9/cyclin T complex (known as elongation factor P-TEFb). P-TEFb activates transcription by phosphorylating the C-terminal domain of RNA polymerase II. The record is from RNAcentral. Lineage: Eukaryota; Metazoa; Chordata; Mammalia; Rodentia; Bathyergidae.
UCCCUCUGGAAGUUUUGCACUCAGUGUACGGAGACGACCACCCCGUAGAGGAGGACGUUUCCUUGGCCAAGGGUGUAGGGUAUACGAGUAGCUGCGCUCCCCCGCUAGAACCUCCAGACUAGCUCUCAAAGUAAACAGCCACUGGGUUUUUCAUA